Molecule: long non-coding RNA, 216 nt
Filed under: Volvox carteri
Lineage: Eukaryota; Viridiplantae; Chlorophyta; Chlorophyceae; Chlamydomonadales; Volvocaceae
Description: long non-coding RNA (VCAR_LNC003874)
Source: RNAcentral
GACAUCGGAGGUCAAGAACGAAUUUGAAGGGGAGGCAAAGCGUGUACAAAGACUAUUGUCGCCAGAGUUGUUACAAGCAGCGUCAAAGGUGAACUGCCGUCCCAACAUGUUCUCCACGUUACGAAACUCGUCCGGGAGGAACAUGUGAUCACAGCUAAGCGGAUCACCAACGGGCAACAAGGACUCUCUGAUUUGCAAGCUAGCCGAGUCCUUAGG